AUACGUAGGGAGCGAGCGUUGUCCGGAAUUACUGGGUGUAAAGGGAGCGUAGGCGGAGUGCAAGUCAGAUGUGAAAUACAUGGGCUCAACCCAUGGGCUGCAUUUGAAACUGCAUUUCUUGAGUGAAGUAGAGGUAAGCGGAAUUCCUGGUGUAGCGGUGAAAUGCGUAGAUAUCAGGAGGAACACCGGUGGCGAAGGCGGCUUACUGGGCUUUUACUGACGCUGAGGCUCGAAAGCGUGGGGAGCAAACAGGAUUAGAUACCCUGGUAGUCCACGCUGUAAACGAUGAUUACUAGGUGUGGGGGGACUGACCCCCUCCGUGCCGCAGUUAACACAAUAAGUAAUCCACCUGGGGAGUACGGCCGCAAGGUUGAAACUCAAAUGAAUUGGCGGGG
This 395-nucleotide ribosomal RNA is filed under the name uncultured bacterium. RNAcentral's name for it is "partial 16S ribosomal RNA". It matches the Rfam family "Bacterial small subunit ribosomal RNA", at positions 523 to 918 of the family's 1533-position model. The record is from RNAcentral.